CAGGCGUGCAGGCAGGUUCUCUGCCUGAGCUGCUCCAUGUUGGCCAUUUCUUCGGUCCUGUACACGUGAUAACAAAAAACGGGAAAUGGAGCCUCCAUGUUGGAUUGUUGGAUAUGCCUGACCCCUGACCCCCAGAAGAUGGCCAACUAAAUGCAGCUGAAAAGCACCUCUCCCACCAAGAGAAACCAAGUAUCAAGUAAACCAUCAUACUUCAAACAGAUCUUUUGAGCGAAAAUAAAGUCAAUAUAGAGGUAAUGCAGACAUUCCCCGAAACCUGCUCUGACUCUGCCCAGCUUAGAGGACCAGCAGGUUCCUGAGGAGGUGUGGUUUCCCUAUUGACCUAACCUUCAGCUCCGGAUGGCUCUAGGGGAGUGGAAAGUGCAGUGCACAAGAGUCUGCGUUAGGGCUCAGGAAACACAGGCAUAGCACUAGUGAUUGGAGGGGGCUCCCCCAAGGCCCAGAAAGAGACCUGGUGAGGGAGUUAUCUCUUGCCCCGCUAUCUCCCACUCCCCAGGACACUGCUGAAUGUACUCUGAAAUACAAGACACACAAUGCUGAUUAAAAGCCUAUUUGCCAGCCCUUAAUCUUAAGCACCAUCUACUGUAUCAUAGCCUGAAUUACCUCACCAAACAAAACUGAAUUCCUUUAGCCCUCAAUACUUGUGAAACCUAAUGCAGGAAACUAGCCACAGCUCGGAAAUUAUACAGAGCCUUCACCCUCUGAAAGUACUCAGAAAUGAAGCCAAUCAACUUUACACAACACACCCCCAUCAAAUGCCCAAAAGAAAAAAACAAAUUGAAGCCAAAAAAACCAUCCAAACAGUCAUUUCCAAAAGAAACAGAAACAGGAGUCCCUCAAAUGAGAAGAAAUCAGUGCAAGAAUUCCAGACAUUCAUAAAGUCAGAGUAGUUCUAUACCUCUAAAGGAGCACACUAGCUUCCCAGAAACGGAUGCUAACCAGAGUGAAAUGUCUGAAAAGACAGACACAGAAUUCAGGAUCUGGAAGAGAAGUUCAUAGAUAUUUAAGAGAAAAUUGAAAUCCAAUCCAAGGAAGACAAUAAAAUGAUUUAAGAGUUGAAAGAUGACAAAGCCACUUUAAGAAGGAACCACACUGAACAUCUGGGUUUAAAAAAUUUACUACAGGAAUUUCAAAAUACAAAUGGAAGCCUUAACAACAGAAUAGACAAAGCUGAAGAAAUAAUAUAAGACUAGUCCUUCGAAUCAGCCCAGUCAGAUAAAAAUAAAGAAAAAACGAUUUAAAGCAUGAGCAAAGCCUUUGAGAAAUAUGAGAUUUUGUAAAAAGACCAAACUUAUACAUCACUGGAAUUCCUAAGAUAUAAGAAGAGAGAGUAAGCAACUUGGAAAACAUAUUGGAAGAUAUAACCCAUGAAAAUUUCCUUAUUCUUGCUAGAAAGGUCAUCAUGCAAAUGCAGGAAAUUUAGAGAACCCCUCCAAGAUACUACACAAGACAACCAUUCCCAAGACACACGGCCACCAGACAUUACAAGGUCUAUGUGAAAUAAAAAAUAUCUUAAAGCCAGCUAUAGAUCACUUACAAAGGGAAGCUCAUCAGGCUAACAUCACACUUCUCAGCAGACAUCUUAUAAGCAAGAAGAAUGUAGAGGCUAUUUCCAGCAUUCUUAAAGAAAAGAAAUUCCAACCUAGAAUUCCUAUCCCACCAAACUAAGCUUUAUAAGCAAAGUAAAAA
Molecule: long non-coding RNA, 1707 nt
Filed under: Homo sapiens (human)
Lineage: Eukaryota; Metazoa; Chordata; Mammalia; Primates; Hominidae
Description: HSALNT0056619
Source: RNAcentral